RNAcentral lists this ribosomal RNA (454 nucleotides) under uncultured bacterium. RNAcentral describes it as "bacterial SSU rRNA". It matches the Rfam family "Bacterial small subunit ribosomal RNA", at positions 96 to 562 of the family's 1533-position model. The record is from RNAcentral.
CGGCGGACGGGUGAGUAACGCGUGGGUAACCUACCCCAAAGUCCGGGAUAACAGCGGGAAACCGCUGCUAAUACCGGAUGCCUUUACCUUGGGGCAUCUUGAGGUAAAGAAAGGUAACGCUUUGGGAUGGGCCCGCGUCCCAUUAGCUAGUUGGUGAGGUAGCGGCUCACCAAGGCGACGAUGGGUAGCCGGCCUGAGAGGGUGGACGGCCACACUGGGACUGAGACACGGCCCAGACUCCUACGGGAGGCAGCAGUAGGGAAUAUUGCGCAAUGGACGGAAGUCUGACGCAGCGACGCCGCGUGAGCGAUGAAGGUCUUCGGAUCGUAAAGCUCUGUCCUUGGGGAAGAAGGCGAAAGCUUGACGGUACCCAAGAAGAAAGCCCCGGCUAACUACGUGCCAGCAGCCGCGGAAAUACGUAGGGGGCGAGCGUUGUCCGGAAUUACUGGGCGUA